Molecule: ribosomal RNA, 253 nt
Filed under: uncultured bacterium
Lineage: Bacteria
Description: partial 16S ribosomal RNA
Rfam family: Bacterial small subunit ribosomal RNA
Source: RNAcentral
UACGAGAGGCCCAAACGUUAUUCGGAAUUACUGGGCUUAAAGAGUUCGUAGGCGGCGCAGAAAGUAGGGUGUGAAAGCCCUCGGCUUAACCGAGGAAUUGCGCUCUAAACUACUGUGCUUGAGGAACCUAGAGGUGAGCAGAACUGAUGGUGGAGCGGUGAAAUGCGUUGAUAUCAUCAGGAAUACCGGAGGCGAAGGCGGCUCACUGGGGGUUUUCUGACGCUGAGGAACGAAAGCCGGGGGAGCGAACGGG